RNAcentral lists this ribosomal RNA (573 nucleotides) under Pictichromis paccagnellae (royal dottyback). RNAcentral's name for it is "partial 16S ribosomal RNA". It matches the Rfam family "Bacterial large subunit ribosomal RNA", at positions 1816 to 2597 of the family's 2925-position model. Lineage: Eukaryota; Metazoa; Chordata; Actinopteri; Pseudochromidae. The record is from RNAcentral. RNAcentral also lists the same sequence under 1 other name.
CGCCUCUUGUCCAUCUCAAAUAAGAGGUCCCGCCUGCCCAGUGACCAUGAGUUCAACGGCCGCGGUAUUUUAACCGUGCAAAGGUAGCGCAAUCACUUGUUCUUUAAAUGAGGACCUGUAUGAAUGGCUAGACGAGGGCUAGACUGUCUCUUUUCUUCAGUCAAUGAAAUUGAUCUCCCCGUGCAGAAGCGGGGAUACCCGCAUAAGACGAGAAGACCCUGUGGAGCUUUAGACACUAGAGACAGACCCUGUUAAGCCCCCCGGCCAAGGGGAUAAACUUAGGGGCCCCUUCUCCCAUGUCUUCGGUUGGGGCGACCACGGGGAAAAAAAUAACCCCCACGUGGACAAAGAACAUUGACUUCUCACACCAGAGAGCCGCCGCUCAAGCUCACAGAACCUCUGACCUAAGGAUCCGGCAACGCCGAUCAACGAACCAAGUUACCCCAGGGAUAACAGCGCAAUCCUCUUUUAGAGGCCUUAUCGACAAGAGGGUUUACGACCUCGAUGUUGGAUCAGGACAUCCUAAUGGUGCAGCCGCUAUUAAGGGUUCGUUUGUUCAACGAUUAAAGUCCU